UCUAAAUAUUUCUAUUAUUCAAACAAAUUUGUCUAUAUAAAAAAAAUAGUAUAUUAAUAUUUUAAGUAUAAAAGAUAGAAAUUUUAUUAAGAUUUUCUGUAAAGAAAAAAGAUGGUAAUUAAAAAAGUUAAAAUAUGUUCUUUUUGGAUCAAGAUUUGAUAAAAAACUCUUAUUUGCAUAAUAAUUUUCGAAAAAACAUGAUUUUGUAUUAAGAAAUUUCAUUAUAUUUCAAUAUAAUGAGGAAAAUAACUAAUAUAAGAAGUGAUAUGCCAAUCAUAUGUUUAGAUAACUAAUUUAUAUAAAUAUAAUUAAGGGUCAGCUUUAAUUUCUCAUACGAUAGUUCAAAAAAAAAUAUAUUUCGUAAUAUUUAUAGUAUAAUUUUGUAUAAAAACUAAUUUUUUUUUCCUAAUUUUAAGAUUUAUAAAGAUUAUAUAAAAUAAAUUGUUAAAAUAAGUAAUUAAAGAAUAAAUUUUAAAAUAACUAAAAAUAUUUUUUUUUGUGAAAUUCAAAUAUUUUCUAAGAACUAGGAGUUUUCCAAAAUGUUUACUAAAAACGAUUUUACUAGAUUCUUAUUAGUAAUUUCUUUUAUUUUCAAUGUGAUUAAUAAAUUAUACUUAGUUUUAAAUUAUUUCAAGUAGACUUAAUUAGUUUACCCUUAAUAAAGAAUUGGGAAGAGAUAUUUAGAAAAUAAAUAAUGAAUUUUUUCAUUAUGUGAAGAAACAUAAUUAUAAAAAAAAGACGAAAAGACCCUAAGUGAUUUAGAUAUACUAGAGAGAAUUACUCUAUAAUUCUUUGUUGGGGUAACUACUGUAAUAUUUAACAAUAGUAUUUAUUUUUUAUUUAUUUAUUAAAAAAGAUCCUUAAUAAAUAUAUUUAUUUAAGAUUAUUUGAAAAAUUAACCUUAGGGAUAACAGCGCUAAUACAUUAAACAAGUUCUUAUUGUUUAAUGUGUUUACGACCUCGAUGUCGGUUUACUUUAACUAAUUUUUGUAAAAGAGAAUAAAGUUUGUUUGCUAACCAAAUUAUUAAGUACAUGAGCUGGGUUAAGGACGAAGUGAUUCAGUCCGGACUUUAUCUUUUAUUAAAAUUAUUUUGAGUACGAAAGGAAAACUAUAAUUAUAUUUUUUAU
Ciona intestinalis (vase tunicate) is the source of this 1129-nucleotide non-coding RNA. NCBI's taxonomy places the organism in Eukaryota, Metazoa, Chordata, Ascidiacea, Phlebobranchia, Cionidae. The record is from the annotation of a RefSeq genome assembly.